ACUCAGAAUCAGGGACACGGUGCGGUUGGGCAGUACGGCGGGCUGUAAAGUUUCCACCAAGUCGCCUCCGCUGCAGACCACUUUGAUGCGCAGAGCCGGGCGGCCGGGCCCCUUGGCUCGCUCGGCGGCGCAGAGGCAACGGUCCACGAUGAGGUCGGGGCAGUUCCUGCUGCCCCCGCACAGCCCCAGCACGGCGGCCACCAGGCAGAGGCGGCGGCACAGCCCACGCAUGCUGAGCCAGCGAGCGAGCCCCGGCCGCCGCGCCGCGCAUGGCACGCGCCGAUCCGCGCCGCUCCGCGGGCAGCGCUCUCCCCUCCACGCCUCCC
This 326-nucleotide long non-coding RNA is filed under the name Gallus gallus (chicken). The record is from RNAcentral. Lineage: Eukaryota; Metazoa; Chordata; Aves; Galliformes; Phasianidae.